This is an unclassified non-coding RNA of Callithrix jacchus (white-tufted-ear marmoset), 300 nucleotides long. It matches the Rfam family "Metazoan signal recognition particle RNA". Rfam says of the family: The signal recognition particle (SRP) is a universally conserved ribonucleoprotein. Lineage: Eukaryota; Metazoa; Chordata; Mammalia; Primates; Cebidae. The record is from Ensembl.
GCUGGGUGCAGUGGUGCGUGCCUGUCGUGCCAGCUACUUGAGAGGCUGAGGUGGGAGGAUCACUUGAGCCCAGGAGUUCUGGGGUGUGGUGCGCUAUGCCAAUCGGGUGUCCGCACUAAGUUCAGCAUCAAUAUGGUGACCUCCCGGGAGCGGGGGACCACCAGGCUGCCUAAGGAGAGGUGAACCAGCCCAGAUUGGAAACGGAGCAGGUCAAAACUCCCAUGUUGAUCAGUAGCAGGAUGGCGCCUGUGAAUAGCCAGUGCACACCAGCCUGGGCAACACAGCAAGACCCCAUCUCUU